RNAcentral lists this transfer RNA (73 nucleotides) under Sphaerobolus stellatus SS14. RNAcentral's name for it is "tRNA-His (GTG) (tRNA-His-GTG-5-1)". Lineage: Eukaryota; Fungi; Basidiomycota; Agaricomycetes; Geastrales; Sphaerobolaceae. The record is from RNAcentral.
UCUUAGGUAGUAUAGUGAACAGUAUUUGCGCCUGUGAGGCCCCGAGACCGGGGUUUAAUUCCCCGCCUGAGAG